ACCUGGCUGGCUCAGUAGGUACAGCAUGAGACGCUUGAACUCGGGGUCGUGAGUUCAAACCCCAUGUCGGGUG
RNAcentral lists this transfer RNA (73 nucleotides) under Ailuropoda melanoleuca (giant panda). It matches the Rfam family "tRNA". Rfam says of the family: Transfer RNA (tRNA) molecules are approximately 80 nucleotides in length. The record is from Rfam by way of RNAcentral. Lineage: Eukaryota; Metazoa; Chordata; Mammalia; Carnivora; Ursidae.